CACCUCUUCCCAUCCCGAACAGAGAAGUUAAACCUUACCACGCCGAUGAUACUGCGAAAGCGGGAAAGUAGGUAACCGCCCCCU
This 84-nucleotide ribosomal RNA is filed under the name Bacteroides sp. Lineage: Bacteria; Pseudomonadati; Bacteroidota; Bacteroidia; Bacteroidales; Bacteroidaceae. The record is from RNAcentral.